RNAcentral lists this ribosomal RNA (253 nucleotides) under uncultured bacterium. RNAcentral's name for it is "partial 16S ribosomal RNA". It matches the Rfam family "Bacterial small subunit ribosomal RNA", at positions 524 to 776 of the family's 1533-position model. The record is from RNAcentral.
GACAGAGGUGCCAAGCGUUAGGCGGAAUCACUGGGCUUAAAGCGUGUGUAGGCGGGUCGUUAAGUGUCUUGUGAAAUCCCCCGGCUCAACCGGGGAAUGGCUGGGCAUACUGGCGAUCUUGAGCAGUCUAGGGGCAGAUGGAACAGACGGUGGAGCGGUGAAAUGCGUAGAUAUCGUCUGGAACGCCGAAGGUGAAGACAGUCUGCUGGGGACUUGUUGACGCUGAGACACGAAAGCCAGGGGAGCGAACGGG